UAUUUCAAACGUUUUAUUUUUAAACACGUCAUCAUAACUAUCGAUUGCAUCGAUCAAACCAGGAUAUGUUUUAAUGGCGGAUAAUGCAAUUGUAUCGUCGCAUUCAGGAAAGUGAUACAUAUUAAACUAGAGAGCGAGAUUUUAUGGGAGCAUAUUCGAUAAGCAAUAUCACGUUUAUGCUGUACUAUUAUUACACAAGCAAAUGUCUAUUUAUCUAGCGCUUUCACUAAAUUCAUCUGUUCGUGUUUUGCAAUGUCUGUUUGAUUAAUAUUGAGAGAGAGAGGUCACUGCAUUCAUCCUUCAAUUACUUCCUAUUAUUCUCGAUAUAACGCUAUUCGAUGAGCUUCGAUUGCGCAGACGCCUCUUUCUGUUUGAAUUUCGCACUACAGAAUAAGUACUUCUACACUAAAGUACAGCAUGAAACUGUGGUCUUGUCUAUGAAUGGAUUGCUACUAAUAGCUACUUCGAUACAACUGCUAAUAUUUAUCUAUCAUUGUUUUAGAACGCUUAAAAUUGCCAAAUGACUAAAAUGCAACGGAGAAGCUGUUGCAUGUCGAUCGGCAGUUUAUUCGACAUUUCAUAUAUUAGUAGUAUAUUCGAAGGACCUAUGCCCGUCUAAACAAUAUACUAAAGUUAUACUAAAAAGUUACAAUGAAAAUAAUUACUCUACUGCAUCGGACCACCCGUUUCGAGUAUGGUGAAAAUAAAUGUAAGAACAUCGUGGUGUGUUUCGCUACCGACAAAUCCUUUUCCGUAGACGAAACAAUCGAAACAAUGCGCCCCCUCAUCGGGAAAGCCUCGCAUUGCGUGUGGAAAAUGCAAGGGAGGUUACAAAGGGAGUUAAUAACGUUAAUUGAUAUGCUACACAUACCAUGCUUGUUCUCACGCUGCUAUAUAAUCAUGAGCUUCACCUUCAUCAAAUUAGUCAUCAUCCGUAACACAUGUCGGGGGAUAUUUCUAUCCGACACUUUGCGAUUGCUGACUGGUACACCUCAAUUUAACUGAACAUGAAAAUCGUUAGGAUCCUUGACAACGGAAAAGAACGUUGCAUAUACAAAUUUGAUGUAAAUUUAUAAUAUUUCUGAAAUUAUAUGCGGGAUGGUCUACUUAUAUCAAGCAUCUUAAAUUUCUCACUUGUUUUUGAUGAUAUGUAAGAAAAAAGUUGCACCGUUCAAGGGGACAAUUUGGUGACAGAAAAAGUUUUUUUUUUCAAGAUCAUUUUUCGGAGAUUUGAAGAUUGAGAUAAUUUUUUCAAUACAACUACUUUUUUUGUUUGCACGCUUUUAUACCCAACAUCGAAAAGAGUUUAACGACUUAAUAAUAUGAUCUUUAAAUGAUCUUGAACAUGGGAAAUUACAUAUGUUUAGAGGAAAUACGAAAGUCAAAUAUUUAAGUUUUUUAAUAUAAAGAUUUGCUUAAGGAGGUGUUGAAAAUGAUGCCCUCUUUAAUACAUUUUUAAAUACGAUACAUAAAUAAUACUCUUGCUCUUUCUAUCAUUUUUAAAUCUGUAAUUGCACAUGCGUCCAUAAUGUGCUGUAUCGUGUUCCUGGUACAUCGUUGUAUACAAUGUUUUUCAACAUUCCCCACAAAAUGUCUGGAGGGUUCUAAAUCAGUAGAACGUGCAGACCAAGGGUGUAUCCACCUCUUUCCCCUUCCCCUAUUCCGUAUUUCAAAAACAUUUCGUGUAAAACUAUAUGUGGAAUGUGUGUUUUAAAAGCCAGACAACCAUCAUAUUAGAGACAGGUACCACAUUUGUAAAUAAAUUUCUAACGUUUAUAUGUGUUUCUAUGUUUACAAAUACAAUAUAGAUGGGAUGUUCCACAUUGAGUUCACGAAAAAUGCAUGACAUCAAACAUAUAUAUCUAUUAUUGCGAUGUAAUAAUUGUCCAGCUCAUGUCUACAAGUAUAAUAAUCCUUAACGUGUGUAGUCCAAUAAAAAUAGUUGAAAUCAAUGUUUGCGUGUGUGAUAAUAUGAGAAUAACAUAUAUUACCACAUUUUGACGGCUUGUAUUUCGCUUUAAUCACAAUUGUGUGUCAAAUCAGUACGUACUGUGUAUGUCAACUCACCAUGUAAUGUACUUUCUGCUGGUCCAAAGCAGACUGACUCCUAUAGAUAGCAGAAAAAUGCAAAUUGCGCUUGAGCCUGCGUAAACUGGGGGACAAAGGCCAUACACUCUCUAAUAUUUCUUUAAUACGCGGCAAUUUAGUUAUUUCUCAAAAAAUGCUUUUAUUACGACACAUAUUACUGCCUAAGUGGAUCGAUAGAACUGUCCCAUCCUUCGUUUUCCACCGUGAAAUUGCAGAAAAUUACUAAAUGACAUUGCGUAUAUUGUCGCUUGUCAACCGUAGCGUCGGCGUUCGUGAAAAAAGAAUAUGUUAGAAGAAAAGACCUUUGGAAUGUUCUAUAUAAAGUCAGUCGUACACGAACAAAUCUUAUCGAGAAAGCCGUUUUAUCCAUCGCGCAAGAUGGCCCUCACUGGUGAACGUUAUUAUAACAUUUAUCGAAUUGUGUUAACGACAAUCGGCUUGUGGCCGGAUCAGAACGUUUCGCGAAUACAAACGGGCUUUUUUUUCAUCGUAUAUUUUUCUAUUAUAUUUUUUCAGGUAUCUCUUAUUUCUUUGACAAAUUGUGUUUGUAUCGCAACUUCUAACGAAAAAUAAUAUCUUUACUGUCAAUGUUAUUUAAAAUUUUCCUAGUUAACGACAUUCCUGACGACAACGACUUUAAACCUGAUGUUUAUCAUUAAGUACCUCUCAUAUUUUUUACCUUUUCUUAUUUACACCGUAAAUUAUAAUUCUUUUUAUUUCAACGUUAAAGCGAUCGGGCAAGCUUUGGAACACAUCAGAAUGGUCUGGAGCACGCUUACAGACAACGAUGAAAUAGAAAUACUGACUAAAUACACGUACAUAGCUUACAUUGUGUCACUGAUUGUGUACAUUAUCCUCAGUGUCGCGGUAUUUGGAUUCAUAUUGUUCGAAUGUUCACCCGUUAUCUUCGACGUCCUAGCGCCGAUGAAUGUGUCUCGACCGCGUACGAUCGAAAUACCCUUCGAAUUCUUCCUCGAUGUGGAUCAAUAUUUCUUUAUCUACAUAGCAUACGAGAUUCUAGUAACGGUGAUUGGACUCACUGCAAUGGUCGGCACCGGUACAUUAUUGCUUGCGAUCGGGACGCACAGUUGUGCGGAAUUUAAGAUUGCCAGGUUUCUUAACGAUAUGUUGAAUGGUUUUAAUGUAUGGUAUUUUUUUCUGAUUAUGAUCGGCGUAACGUCUUUAAGUUGCAACCUCUUUCGAUUACUUAAUGCGGUAAUACAAUUCAACAAUGUCCAUGAAUUAUUUACAUGCAUCAUGAUGUUUCUUGGUCAUAUAAUAUAUAUGUUUAUGGCGAAUUUAUGCGGACAAGCAAUUAUCGAUCACAGCACGGAGAUGUUGAAUGCGACAUAUAACACACUAUGGUAUGCAGCUCCGUUACCGAUUCAGAAAUUGUUAUUGCUCUUACAAAAAUCCGCGACGAACCAAAAGCUUAUGAUCGGUAGCAUCUUUGUCGCAUCGUUAGAAGGGUUCUCUACGCUCGUUACUUCAUCGAUCUCGUACUUUACCGUAAUGUACACCAUGAUGACGAAGAAUUAAAGAGAAUAGUCAGUCAUUCGCGAAUGGCAUAGAAGUGAACGCUUAAUCACAUGUAGAAACAGUCGUGCCGACUCAAGCAAGUAAUUAAAGCUCAUUAGUAAAUAUCUACUAUUAUUACUGGUUUCUCUUGCACUCAUCAUUAAAUAUUCGUAUCGACUGGCGUUGAGCGUGUCGAGAUGGAAAUGUCGUCGAAAUGAAAAAAAAAUCGGAAUUCUAUAUUGAACGAUAUACUUCAAAUAUAAUAUGUUCAAUGCGUCAUAAUCACAAUCUACAAUGUUCACGAGUAUCAAAAAUAUCUGAUUAAUAACAUCAGGAAUAUUCGAGAGAAUAGAAAAAACAAGCGAUCCAAUCCAAAAUAUUAAAUAACACUGUAUGAGUAUUGUACAUAGAAAUAAACAAGUAACGCAUCAAAACGCAUCAAUUUCAUCUUAUAUAAUCAAUUCACUGCUAAUAACUCAUAUAUGAGCGAGAAAAAGGCCACAACUGAUAAUGAUUAUUAGCACCAUGAAUAACUUUGCCAGUUUUCAGUAAGUUUACAUCAAAUUUGAUACACUCAUGUUUUUGUUGCUGAUUAUGAAUUCGGAAUUAAAU
RNAcentral lists this unclassified non-coding RNA (4218 nucleotides) under Harpegnathos saltator (Jerdon's jumping ant). RNAcentral describes it as "uncharacterized LOC109504418, transcript variant X2". The record is from RNAcentral. Lineage: Eukaryota; Metazoa; Arthropoda; Insecta; Hymenoptera; Formicidae.